UGACUGCGCAUGCGAGCUAUGGAUAUUCUCACGCCUUCUGCAUGAGAGGGAAAAGGACCAAUAUGGUCAUUUAUAGCAGGCCUGGGCGAACUUGGGCCCUCCAGGUGUUUUGGACUUCAACUCCCAUCAUUCCUAACAGCCUCAGGUCCCUUCCUUUCCCCCCUCAGCCGCUUAAGGAUUUGAGAAAUCUUUCCCAGAGCUAUUUUGGAAGCACCCAGGUUCAUUCUUCUUACUGACUGCUGACCUGAAGGUUGGGUUGCUGACCUGAAGAUCGUCGGUUCGAAUCCACAAGACAGGGCAAGUUCACAUCCAUCAGCUCUAGCUUGCAGGGACAUGAGAGAAGCCUCCCAGCAGGAUGAUAACACAUCCAGGCGUCCCCUUGGCAACGUCUCUGUAGACAGCCAAUUCUCUCACACCAGAAGUGACUUGCAGUCACAACCUCAGGGGAUGCCUGCCAUAGAUGUGGGCGAAACGUCAGGAGAGAAUACUUCUGGAACAUGGCCAUACAGCCUGGAAAACAUACAACCCUGUGAUCCUAAUAUUUCUGAAAUAUUAGUAUGACUAACUCUAAAGAAAUAGAGCAAAUUAGAAUAGUGGUCUAAGAAAUCUGGCAAGCAAACAUUAUAUUACCAAGAGAGGUUAGAAUGCUUCAGGCAUGUGAACAUCCUGAGGCAAAGCUGAAGCAGGUACUGCACUACCCAAUAUCUGUCAGGAAGUAGCUGCCAAUAAUGAAAGGAUCAAGGCAUUGACAUCUCCGGCACAUCCUCUAUUUGGAUAUAAGCCAUCAUGCGAACGCCUUAAAUAAAGAAACAGCUUCCUAAAAUCCACAGCCAUACUUGCAGGAACACCUCAGCAAGUGACGUCCAAAAGUGGCAGGCUAAAACCUGGAACCUCAACCAGUGGAUGAGACCGGAUGAGAAACUCCCUCCUAGGCACACAGAAAGCUGAGUGACUUGGAAGGUGCUGAACAGACUGCGCUCUGGCACCACGAGAUACAGAGCCAAUCUUAAGAAAUGGUGCUACAAAGUGGAGUCCACAAAAUGCGAGUAUGGAGAAGAGCAAACCACAGACCACUUACUACAAUGCAACCCGAGCCUUGCCACUUCUCAUAGUGACACCAGAGGCAUUCCAAGUGGCCAGCUUCUGGUCAAAGGAAAUCUAGUAUAAUGCCAAGCUUUUAACUUUAUGUUUUUAAAAUACAUUAUAACUGUCCUCAAUUUGCUUCUGACACAAUAAAUAAAAAUAAACUGGA
Long non-coding RNA from Anolis carolinensis (green anole), 1252 nucleotides. RefSeq lists it as uncharacterized. Lineage: Eukaryota; Metazoa; Chordata; Lepidosauria; Squamata; Anolidae. The transcript has 2 exons. The record is from RefSeq and is a predicted model, not a curated record.